UCUUCCUACGGGAGGCAGCAGUCGAGAAUCAUUCACAAUGGGGGAAACCCUGAUGGUGCGACGCCGCGUGGGGGAAUGAAGGCCUUCGGAUUGUAAACCCCUGUCAUGUGGGAGCAAAUUAAAAAGAUAGUACCACAAGAGGAAGAGACGGCUAACUCUGUGCCAGCAGCCGCGGUAAUACAGAGGUCUCAAGCGUUGUUCGGCAUCACUGGGCGUAAAGCGUGCGUAGGCUGUUUCGUAAGUCGUGUGUGUAAGGCGCGGGCUCAAACCGCGGACGGCACAUGAUACGGCGAGAC
This 296-nucleotide ribosomal RNA is filed under the name uncultured bacterium. RNAcentral describes it as "partial 16S ribosomal RNA". It matches the Rfam family "Bacterial small subunit ribosomal RNA", at positions 334 to 641 of the family's 1533-position model. The record is from RNAcentral.